AGAGCGAACGCUGGCGGCAGGCCUAAUACAUGCAAGUCGAGCGCACCUUCGGGUGAGCGGCGGACGGGUGAGUAACGCGUGGGAACGUGCCCUUUGGUACGGAACAACUGAGGGAAACUUCAGCUAAUACCGUAUGUGCCCUUCGGGGGAAAGAUUUAUCGCCAUUGGAGCGGCCCGCGUUGGAUUAGCUAGUUGGUAGGGUAAAAGCCUACCAAGGCUACGAUCCAUAGCUGGUCUGAGAGGAUGAUCAGCCACACUGGGACUGAGACACGGCCCAGACUCCUACGGGAGGCAGCAGUAGGGAAUCUUGCGCAAUGGGCGAAAGCCUGACGCAGCCAUGCCGCGUGAAUGAUGAAGGUCUUAGGAUUGUAAAAUUCUUUCACCGGGAAGAUAAUGACGGUACCCGGAGAAGAGCCCGGCUAACUUCGCGCCAGCAGCCGC
This 441-nucleotide ribosomal RNA is filed under the name uncultured bacterium. Its description in RNAcentral is "SSU rRNA". It matches the Rfam family "Bacterial small subunit ribosomal RNA", at positions 26 to 518 of the family's 1533-position model. The record is from RNAcentral.